GACGAACGCUGGCGGCGUGCUUAACACAUGCAAGUCGAACGGAAAGGCCCUGCUUUUGUGGGGUGCUCGAGUGGCGAACGGGUGAGUAACACGUGAGUAACCUGCCCUUGACUCUGGGAUAACUUCAGGAAACUGGGGCUAAUACCGGAUAGGAGCUCCUGCUGCAUGGUGGGGGUUGGAAAGUUUCGGCGGUUGGGGAUGGACUCGCGGCUUAUCAGCUUGUUGGUGGGGUAGUGGCUUACCAAGGCUUUGACGGGUAGCCGGCCUGAGAGGGUGACCGGCCACAUUGGGACUGAGAUACGGCCCAGACUCCUACGGGAGGCAGCGGUGGGGAAUAUUGCACAAUGGGCGGAAGCCUGAUGCAGCAACGCCGCGUGCGGGAUGACGGCCUUCGGGUUGUAAACCGCUUUCGCCUGUGACGAAGCGUGAGUGACGGUAAUGGGUAAAGAAGCACCGGCUAACUACGUG
Molecule: ribosomal RNA, 468 nt
Filed under: uncultured bacterium
Lineage: Bacteria
Description: partial 16S ribosomal RNA
Rfam family: Bacterial small subunit ribosomal RNA
Source: RNAcentral